AAGCCGGAGAAUGCUCUCAUAUUUUUCCACGGCUUUCUUGAACUUCCCGAUCGGGAGUGUUGGCGACAGAUCGCACCGCUAACAGAUCCGCAUACGAAGCUCAAGAAAGCCGUGGGAAGAAUAUUAAAGGGAUUCAAUUUUAU
Molecule: microRNA precursor, 143 nt
Filed under: Picea abies (Norway spruce)
Lineage: Eukaryota; Viridiplantae; Streptophyta; Pinopsida; Pinales; Pinaceae
Description: miR396c stem-loop (pab-MIR396c)
Gene: pab-MIR396c
Source: miRBase by way of RNAcentral